UAGGGAAUCUUCCACAAUGGACGCAAGUCUGAUGGAGCAACGCCGCGUGAGUGAAGAAGGUUUUCGGAUCGUAAAGCUCUUUUGUUGGUGAAGAAGGAUAGAGGCAGUAACUGGUCUUUAUUUGACGUUAAUCAACCAGAAAGUCACGGCUAACUACGUGCCAGCAGCCGCGGUAAUACGUGGGUGGCAAGCGUUGUCCGGAUUUAUUGGGCGUAAAGCGAGCGCAGGCGGAAUGGUAAGUCUGAUGUGAAAGCCCACGGCUCAACCGAGGAACUGCAGCGGAAACUAUCAGUCUUGAGUGCAGAAGAGGAGGGUGGAAUUCCAUGUGUAGCGGUGGAAUGCGUAGAUAUAGGGAAGAACACCAGUGGCGAAGGCGGCUCUCUGGUCUGCAACUGACGCUGAGGCUCGAAAGCAAGGGUAGCGAACAGG
Molecule: ribosomal RNA, 429 nt
Filed under: bacterium
Lineage: Bacteria
Description: partial 16S ribosomal RNA
Rfam family: Bacterial small subunit ribosomal RNA
Source: RNAcentral